RNAcentral lists this unclassified non-coding RNA (244 nucleotides) under Rhizophagus sp. (in: glomeromycetes). Its description in RNAcentral is "partial contains 5.8S ribosomal RNA and internal transcribed spacer 2". The stretch from base 1 to 65 matches the Rfam family "5.8S ribosomal RNA", at positions 84 to 154 of the family's 154-position model. Lineage: Eukaryota; Fungi; Glomeromycota; Glomeromycetes; Glomerales; Glomeraceae. The record is from RNAcentral.
GUGAAUCAUCAAAUCUUUGAACGCAAAUUGCACUCUCUUCGGAGAGUAUGCCCGUUCGAGUGCCAGCAUUAAUAAAAAUCGGAGUGUUGCUUCUUUGUGACGCUCCGGAGUUUGGGUUACUUUAAUAUCCUCUAGGUUUUAAGAGGCAUAAAAUUGACUUUUUUUGCGCAUCAUAGAUGUACAUAAAUUCUUUUUCUUAUUCGUCCGUCUUAAUGCCCAAAAUCCUAUACGUUGCGACCAUUUC